RNAcentral lists this ribosomal RNA (429 nucleotides) under Verrucomicrobiota bacterium. Its description in RNAcentral is "Verrucomicrobia bacterium partial 16S ribosomal RNA". It matches the Rfam family "Bacterial small subunit ribosomal RNA", at positions 355 to 776 of the family's 1533-position model. Lineage: Bacteria; Pseudomonadati; Verrucomicrobiota. The record is from RNAcentral.
UAGGGAAUCUUCGGCAAUGGGGGGAACCCUGACCGAGCAACGCCGCGUGAGUGAAGAAGGUUUUCGGAUCGUAAAGCUCUGUUGUUAAGGAAGAACGAGUGUGAGAAUGGAAAGUUCAUGCUGUGACGGUACUUAACCAGAAAGGGACGGCUAACUACGUGCCAGCAGCCGCGGUAAUACGUAGGUCCCGAGCGUUGUCCGGAUUUAUUGGGCGUAAAGCGAGCGCAGGCGGUUAGAAAAGUCUGAAGUGAAAGGCAGUGGCUCAACCAUUGUAGGCUUUGGAAACUGUUUAACUUGAGUGCCGAAGGGGAGAGUGGAAUUCCAUGUGUAGCGGUGAAAUGCGUAGAUAUAUGGAGGAACACCGGUGGCGAAAGCGGCUCUCUGGUCUGUAACUGACGCUGAGGCUCGAAAGCGUGGGGAGCGAACAGG